RNAcentral lists this ribosomal RNA (253 nucleotides) under uncultured bacterium. RNAcentral's name for it is "partial 16S ribosomal RNA". It matches the Rfam family "Bacterial small subunit ribosomal RNA", at positions 524 to 776 of the family's 1533-position model. The record is from RNAcentral.
UACAGAGGUCUCAAGCGUUGUUCGGAUUCAUUGGGCGUAAAGGGUGCGUAGGCGGCGCGGUAAGUCGGGUGUGAAAUCUCGGGGCUUAACUCCGAAACUGCAUUCGAUACUGCCGUGCUUGAGGACUGGAGGGGAGACUGGAAUUUACGGUGUAGCGGUGAAAUGCGUAGAUAUCGUAAGGAAGACCAGUGGCGAAGGCGGGUCUCUGGACAGUUCCUGACGCUGAGGCACGAAGGUCAGGGGAGCAAACGGG